GACGGAGGAUGCAAGUGUUAUCCGGAAUGAUUGGGCGUAAAGCGUCCGUAGGUGGUUUUGUAAGUCCGUGGUUAAAGCGUGGGGCUCAACCCCAUAAGGGCCAUGGAAACUACAUAACUCGAGUAAAGUAGGGGUAGAGGGAAUUCCCAGUGUAGCGGUGAAAUGCGUAGAGAUUGGGAAGAACACCGGUGGCGAAAGCGCUCUACUGGACUUAAACUGACACUGAGGGACGAAAGCUAGGGGAGCGAAAGGG
RNAcentral lists this ribosomal RNA (253 nucleotides) under uncultured bacterium. Its description in RNAcentral is "partial 16S ribosomal RNA". It matches the Rfam family "Bacterial small subunit ribosomal RNA", at positions 524 to 776 of the family's 1533-position model. The record is from RNAcentral.